UACAGAGGUCUCAAGCGUUGUUCGGAUUCAUUGGGCGUAAAGGGUGCGUAGGCGGCGCGGUAAGUCGGGUGUGAAAUUUCGGAGCUUAACUCCGAAACUGCAUUCGAUACUGCCGUGCUUGAGGACUGGAGAGGAGACUGGAAUUUACGGUGUAGCGGUGAAAUGCGUAGAUAUCGUAAAGAACACCAACGGCGAAAGCGGUCUGCUGGGCCGACACUGACACUGAGAGACGAAAGCUAGGGGAGCAAAUGGG
Molecule: ribosomal RNA, 253 nt
Filed under: uncultured bacterium
Lineage: Bacteria
Description: partial 16S ribosomal RNA
Rfam family: Bacterial small subunit ribosomal RNA
Source: RNAcentral